CGAACUUUGGACAUAUUAGUUUGAAUCUGUCGUUCCAGGAGCUUUGCUCCUACACAGAUCUCGUAAAGACUGCAAGUGUACAAAAGGGUGCUUCCCAGUCUGGACCACAGGUUACAGGACAGUAGUAGAUCUAUUAUGUAGAAUAGUUCUGUGCUUUGAGGUUUUCCUCCAUAGCAGAUCAUGUACCUUCUGAUAAUAAAACAACAACAACAAAGAAAAGCCACCACUUGAAACUGGGGAAGUAAUUCCUUUGGGUUAUUCAGCUCACCAGCUGCAUUCAGUGCCUGACAAGUAUUCCUCCUAGGGGGCUGUAUGGAUGCACUCUAAACUUCUCUACGCCCUCAGGAGAUGCCACUGCUGGACCACCUGCAGAGCAGAUCAUCUAUCUGUACACCCAUACAGCUGCGGGUGACCUAGAAUUACACAUCCUGAGAUCAUGCUGGACCAAAAUAAGGUAAUUUUUUAACUAAGUGUUGGUCUCAUGUCUGGCCAUAUUUCACGAUUAUCUUUGCCCUUUGGAUUCCUAAACCCUAGAGGCUGGGGAGGGCUGCUAUAGGCGUUAUUUGUGCUUCCCUUUGUUUUCUAUUUUGGAGUAGAAGAUUGAGAAUUCUUCUGGUGAUGUAUGGGACAAAAGCGUAGUUAUGAAAGAUGCAGCUGUGGCACUGUUACAAUUCGCUUGCCUUUGAAGGCCCUUUAGGAAGGGUUUCUGAUGUGAAGAAAUAAGAUUAAUCUCUGGCUUGAGAACUAAGCCAAAUGGCAGCUCCCGAAACACUGUAGGCUGUGAGCAAAAACCUGGAAUUGGAGGGAGCUGCACUGCUUGUUGCAAAACCAAGGAUGAAGCAGUUGUGGAGGAGGGACUCCUUCCUUUUGCCUUUGGCUUCUAUGGAUUAUUUUCAUGUGUCUGUUUCUUACCAGCAAGGCUGCUCUCUCAACAUUAUGAUACGAACUUGACUGGCUUGUUCAUAUGUAAAACAGAGUUAAAUGUAAAGCAGAGGACUUCUUGACAGGAGGGCAUCCAAAGAAGUUAAGCUGCUCCUCGUGUGGCUACAGCACAAUUUCAAGUGGCCUUUCCACCUCAGCUGUCAUGGAGCCCAAGGAAUGACUGAAGUAAAUGGAGACCGUGCUGGCUGGGCAGCUGUCUUCAGUCACUUCUCGCUUAGUCAACCCAGUGCGUGUGUUUGUGAAAUGCCACACUCUCCCAGGGAAAUCUCUGCCAGUACCGCACCAGCCUUACUUCUCCCAGCAUGUAAUGCAAAAUCCUCUGAUGGAGCCAAGGCCCACUGACCUCUUGGUUACGGCUAGCAUAACAGUUUGUUCCUUUUUCUUUGCAGUGACUUGUUUUAUUUUCUGGAAGAAUGUUAUGUGUCAUUCUGCUCUGCCUUCUCUUUAGGUUAAACCCCACAUCGUUUCCUCCCAUGCCCAGUUUUCUAGAGCCCUGAUGGUUCCUAUUCUUCUUGUGUUGUGGGAUGUUUUUUGUUCCUGUUUCCCCACUUGGCUGCUCCUUCUGGUGUGAAGUACACAAACAGAACAAACACAGCCUACAGUGCUGUCUCAGGAAUGAGGCUGGAGUUCAUAUCAUACACCUGUCACUCCUUCUGGCAGUGUUUCCUUAUUUUCUUGAACGCUCUGAGGUAGAUUUAGGCACCUUAGAAGGCUGCUGAAGUUCAUGGACCUUUACAAAUAAUGCAUGGGGGAGUCAGUCUGGACUGCCAAUACCACAGAGGAGUUCUGCCAUGCCUGUCACUGCUGCAGGGGCUGUGAACGUUUUAAAUUGCUUCAGAAUGUCAGCAGCCAUUCGUCCGUGGGACUGUUUGUAUGCCCAGCUGCAGCUGAUGCGGGUGCGGGCGCUAGAGCCGGCCUGGCGGGGCAGCGGCACGGCACGGCACGGCACGGCACGGCAGUCACACGGGACGCGCAGUUUGAGGUCUCGGGCAGCUUCUGCAGCGGGUGUCUCAGACCGUGGGUUUAAAGCCGCAGCACGCCGGACGGGGGCAGCUCGGGGCAGGCCGUGAUGCCGCAAGGCAGCGCCUGCGGUCACCCAACGCCGCGGCCGCGAUCUCCUUCUGCCGCGGGGAUGCUGCCGUGUGCACCCAGGCGCGUUAAAAGCGAGAGAAGCAGCGGUGGUGCCUGCGGGGCUUCGCCACAG
This 2146-nucleotide long non-coding RNA is filed under the name Gallus gallus (chicken). RNAcentral describes it as "lncRNA (ENSGALG00010011272.1)". The record is from RNAcentral. Lineage: Eukaryota; Metazoa; Chordata; Aves; Galliformes; Phasianidae.